Molecule: unclassified non-coding RNA, 285 nt
Organism: Bison bison bison
Lineage: Eukaryota; Metazoa; Chordata; Mammalia; Artiodactyla; Bovidae
Rfam family: Metazoan signal recognition particle RNA
About the family: The signal recognition particle (SRP) is a universally conserved ribonucleoprotein.
Source: Ensembl
GCCAGAGGUCUAAAAGUAGUCCCAGCUACUUGGCGGGCUGAGGCUGGAGGAUCACUUGAGCCCCGGAGUCCUGGGCUCUAGCGUGCUAUGCCAAUCGGGUGUCCGCACUAAUUUCAGCAUCAAUAUGGUGACCUGCUGGGAACUGGGGGCCACCAGGUUGCCUAAGGAAGGGUGAACCUGUCCACACUGGAAACUGAGCAGGUCAAAACUCCCGUGCUGAUCAGUAGUGGGAUCAUGCCUGUGAAUAGCCACUACACUCUAGCCUGGGCAACAUAUAAAGUGUUU